UUGGAGGGCAAGUCUGGUGCCAGCAGCCGCGGUAAUUCCAGCUCCAAUAGCGUAUAUUAAAGUUGCUGCAGUUAAAAAGCUCGUAGUUGAAUUUCGGGACCAAUAUGUCGGUCGGGCCUCGGUACGUACUGGCAUCGUUGGUUUCUCCCUUCUGACGAACCAUGAUGUCAUUCAUUUGGUGUCGUGGGGAAUCAGGACUGUUACUUUGAAAAAAUUAGAGUGUUUAAAGCAGGCUCACGCUUGAAUACAUUAGCAUGGAAUAAUGAAAUAGGACGUUUGAUUCUAUUUUGUUGGUUUCUAGGAUCGACGUAAUGAUUAAUAGGGAUAGUUGGGGGCAUUAGUAUUCAAUUGUCAGAGGUGAAAUUCUUGGAUUUAUUGAAGACUAACUACUGCGAAAGCAUUUGCCAAGGAUGUUUUCAUUAAUCAAGAACGAAAGUUAGGGGAUCGAAGACGAUCAGAUACCGUCGUAGUCUUAACCAUAAACUAUGCCGACUAGGGAUCGGAUGAUGUUAAUUUUUUAAUGACUCAUUCGGCACCUUACGGGAAAC
Molecule: ribosomal RNA, 548 nt
Filed under: uncultured Glomus
Lineage: Eukaryota; Fungi; Glomeromycota; Glomeromycetes; Glomerales; Glomeraceae
Description: SSU rRNA
Rfam family: Eukaryotic small subunit ribosomal RNA
Source: RNAcentral